AUGAUCCCCAAAAAAAAAACCCCAAAAAAUCCUAAAAUUCCCCACAAAAAGCCCCAAAAAAAUCCCAAAAAAUCCCCCCAAAAAAAUCCCCCCAAAACCCCCCAAAAUAAUUCCAAAAAAUCCCCCCCAAAAAACAUAAAACCAACCCCAAAAUACCCCAAAAUCAACCCAAAAAAUCCCCCCAAAAAUUCCCCCAAAAAAUCCCAGAAUUUUGAGCUGGGGUCAGUGACCUCAAAUCCGCAGAAUUCAACCCAAAAAUUCAGAGUUUGGGAAAGGAAAAAUAACCCCCAAAAAUACCCCAAAAAUCCCCCAAAAAACCCCAAAAAAAUUCUCCCAAAAAUCCCAAAAAAACCCCCAAAAAAUCCCCAUAAAAAUCCCCAAGAAUAAUCCCCAAAAAAAACCCCAAAAUCCCCCAAAAUAAUCCCAAAAAAUCCCGAUAACAAUACCCCCAAAAAAUCCCCCAAAAAAUCCCCCAAAAAAGCCCCAAAAAGGCCCAAAUUCCCCCCAAAAAUCCCAAUUUUUCCCCAAAUUUCCCCAAUUUGCCCAAAAUCGCCGUUUUUUGCCCCAAACUCGCGUGGCAGACGAAGAUCCGGCUCUGGCCCUGCUCCAGCAGCUGCUCCAGCUCCUCCUCGGCCAGAGGGGGGUGCCCGGCUGGAAAUGGGGAGAAAAAAGCCAAAAAUGGGCAAAAAUGGGAAAUUCAACCCAAAAAUGGGAAAUUUGACCCAAAAAUGGGGAAAUUCACCCCAAAAUCGGGAAAAAAAUCACCCAAAAAUGGGGAAAAUUAACCCAAAAUCGGGGAAAAAUCACCCAAAAAUGGGAAAAUUCAUCCCAAAAUUGGGGGGAAUUGACCCAAAAAUGGGAAUAAUUCAGCCCAAAAAUGGGGAAAAUUCACCCAAAAUUGGGAAAAUUGAGCAGAAAUGGGAAAAUUGACCCAAAAAUGGGGUAAAAUAGCCCAAAAUUGGGAAAAAAUACCCCAAAAAUGGAGGAAAAUGACCCAAAAAUGGGGAGAAUUCACCCAAAAUUGGGGAAAUUUGAGCAAAAUUGGGGAGAAUUGACCCAAAAAUGGAGAAAUUUGACCCAAAGAUGGGGAAAAGUGACCCAAAAAUGGGAAUUAUCAACCCAAAAUUGGGGAGAAUUGACCCAAAAAUGGAGAAAAUUGAGCAAAAAUGGGAAAAUUCACCCCAAAAUUGGAGAAAUUUGACCCAAAAUUGGAAAAAUUUGACCCAAAAAUGGGGAAAAUUCAUCCAAAUUUGGGCAAAAUUCACCCCCAAAAUGAGAAAAUUGACCCAAAAUUGGGAAAUUCACCCCAAAAUUUAGGACACCCCCCCAAAAUUCUUUUUCCAAACCCCUCAAAAAUCAUUAAAACGCCCCAAAAUUUAUCAGAACC
Molecule: long non-coding RNA, 1387 nt
Filed under: Serinus canaria (Common canary)
Lineage: Eukaryota; Metazoa; Chordata; Aves; Passeriformes; Fringillidae
Description: lncRNA (ENSSCAG00000000696.1)
Source: RNAcentral